UAGACAAGAAUGUGUUCCACGGCAGAGAACCGUUAGGAAGAAGAUAAAAUAAAUCAAGAAGCAUGUGAAGAGAACAAUUUCGCGGCUAGAAGCGGUGAAGAAACGGCAAAGAAAGACAGGCUUUUAGAGAGAGAGAGAAUCUUGAAGGAGAGGGAAAGUUUUCUGUGGGUUUCUCUUUUUGGGCUUUCAACUUCUAGGUAAAGAGAGGAAAAAUCGAGAGGCGGAAAAGGAAAUGUAACGCAGAGAGAAAAACUUUGGGGUUCCGAGAGCUAGGGUACGAAACAGAGAGACCUGAGUGGAGGAACUCCGAAGUACUUCGCUGUCUUCCGCCUGGGUGUCCAUUAGAUUUUGUAUAGCUUCACCAGAUUAUAUAAUUUUCUAAGAUCAGUGAGGAUGAAAGAAAGAUUAACCAAAGAGAGCAGUUUCCUGCUUUCGGUUUUCCAAUCUGGAGAUGAAGGCAUGAUCAUUUGGAAACAGAGAGACCUGAAUGGAGGAACUCCGAAGUACUUCGCUGUCUUCCGCCUGGGUGUCCAUUAGCUUCAUCCAAAGUGUGCCUCAGGUUACAUCUGUGAGUUGUUAGCAUUGUACUACUGUGCAAGUUUCGAGUAUUAUCAUGCAGAAUGUAGGGGCGAUCUUGAGAUUUAGAGGUAAACUAUAUGGUAAUGCGCAAGUAUUUAUUCCCACAAAAUGGUUGCUGUUACUAGAAUGCAGGCAUCAAGAUAAGGUCAAUUUAUGGUUAUUAAUCGAACUAUAGGUAAUCAUCGGUCUUAUUUCAUAGUCAUAACUAACAUCAUCUAGCUGAAUAGUUAAAAUAUCAAAUUGUGUUUCAUACUAUCACUUAAAACUUUAGUUAUUUAUUCCUUUCUGACUAGUACCAUUAUUUUACACAUAAUAGUUUUGAAGUACUAGAGUAACAAAUGACCGAAAUUUUUUUACUUCUCAUGCUUUUACCUAUUUUUUGCUAUUAGCAUAUAUGCUUGCUGUCAUAUGGAUUAUUAUCGGGUUGAAACUAUCAAAAUUAGGUAAAUGCAAG
Carica papaya (papaya) is the source of this 1033-nucleotide non-coding RNA. The record is from RefSeq and is a predicted model, not a curated record. Lineage: Eukaryota; Viridiplantae; Streptophyta; Magnoliopsida; Brassicales; Caricaceae.